CCUACGGGUGGCAGCAGUCGAGAAUCAUUCACAAUGGGGGAAACCCUGAUGGGGCGACGCCGCGUGGGGGAAUGAAGGUCUGCGGAGUGUAAACCCCUGUCAUGUGGGAGCAAAUUAAAAAGAUAGUACCACAAGAGGAAGAGACGGCGAACUCUGGGCCAGCAGCCGCGGGAAUACAGAGGUCUCAAGCGUUGUUCGGAACCACUGGGCGUAAAGCGUGCGUAGGCUGUUUCUUAAGGCGUGUGUGAAAGGCGCGGGCUCAACCCGCGGACGGCACAGGAUACUGCGAGACUAGAGUACUGGAGAGGGAACCGGCAUUCUCGGUGUAGCCGUGACCUGCGUAGAUAUCGAG
This 352-nucleotide ribosomal RNA is filed under the name uncultured bacterium. RNAcentral's name for it is "partial 16S ribosomal RNA". It matches the Rfam family "Bacterial small subunit ribosomal RNA", at positions 338 to 701 of the family's 1533-position model. The record is from RNAcentral.